Molecule: ribosomal RNA, 128 nt
Filed under: uncultured eukaryote
Lineage: Eukaryota
Description: partial small subunit ribosomal RNA
Rfam family: Eukaryotic small subunit ribosomal RNA
Source: RNAcentral
CCCUGCCAUUUGUACACACCGCCCGUCGCACCUACCGAUUGGAUGGUCCGAUGAAACCUCCGGACUUGGGCCGUGCUUCCUUUUGGAGGCACAGCUCGGGGAAGCUGGUUAAAUCUUACCAUCUAGAG